UACGAAGGGUGCGAGCGUUAAUCGGAAUUACUGGGCGUAAAGCGUGCGUAGGUGGCGGAUCGAGUUCACCGUGAAAGUCCUGGGCUUAACCUGGGGAUUGCGGUGAGUACUGGUUUGCUCGAGUCGGGUAGAGGGUCGUGGAAUUCCUGGUGUAGCGGUGAAAUGCGUAGAUAUCAGGAGGAACAUCGGUGGCGAAGGCGGCGACCUGGACUUAGACUGACACUGAGGCACGAAAGCGUGGGGAGCAAACAGG
Molecule: ribosomal RNA, 253 nt
Filed under: uncultured bacterium
Lineage: Bacteria
Description: partial 16S ribosomal RNA
Rfam family: Bacterial small subunit ribosomal RNA
Source: RNAcentral